UACGAAGGGGGCGAGCGUUGUUCGGAUUUACUGGGCGUAAAGGGCGCGCAGGCGGCUCAUUUUGUCAGGCGUGAAAGCCCCGGGCUUAACCUGGGAACUGCGUUUGAUACGGAUGGGCUAGAGUUCGGGAGAGGAGAGUGGAAUUCCCAGUGUAGAGGUGAAAUUCGUAGAUAUUGGGAAGAACACCGGUGGCGAAGGCGGGUCUCUGGGCCGGAACUGACGCUGAGGAGCGAAAGCGUGGGGAGCGAACAGG
This 253-nucleotide ribosomal RNA is filed under the name uncultured bacterium. RNAcentral's name for it is "partial 16S ribosomal RNA". It matches the Rfam family "Bacterial small subunit ribosomal RNA", at positions 524 to 776 of the family's 1533-position model. The record is from RNAcentral.